AUUGAACGCUGGCGGCAUGCCUUACACAUGCAAGUCGAACGGCAUCGCGGGAAAGCUUGCUUUCCUGGCGGCGGGUGGCGAACGGGUGAGUAACACAUCGGAACGUACCGGCUAGUGGGGGAUAACCCGUCGAAAGACGGGCUAAUACCGCAUACGCUCUUCGGAGGAAAGCAGGGGACCUUUGGGCCUUGCGCUAGCCGAGCGGCCGAUGUCCGAUUAGCUAGUUGGUGGGGUAAAGGCCUACCAAGGCGACGAUCGGUAGCGGGUCUGAGAGGACGAUCCGCCACACUGGGACUGAGACACGGCCCAGACUCCUACGGGAGGCAGCAGUGGGGAAUCUUGGACAAAGGGGGCAACCCUGAUCCAGCAAUGCCGCGUGGGUGAAGAAGGCCUUCGGGUUGUAAAGCCCUUUCGGCAGGGAAGAAAUCGGCGGGGCGAAUAACCCUGCUGGAUGACGGUACCUGCAGAAGAAGCACCGGCUAACUACGUG
RNAcentral lists this ribosomal RNA (490 nucleotides) under uncultured bacterium. RNAcentral describes it as "partial 16S ribosomal RNA". It matches the Rfam family "Bacterial small subunit ribosomal RNA", at positions 29 to 507 of the family's 1533-position model. The record is from RNAcentral.